This 164-nucleotide unclassified non-coding RNA is filed under the name uncultured Sordariales. RNAcentral's name for it is "sequence contains ITS1". Lineage: Eukaryota; Fungi; Ascomycota; Sordariomycetes; Sordariales. The record is from RNAcentral.
UCGAGUUGCAAAACUCCCAAACCAUUGUGAACCUUACCUAUACCGUUCCUUCGGCGGGCGUGCCUCGCGCCCUAACCCGCCAGCUCUCGCUGGCGGACCCGCCGGAGGCCCCUAAACUCUUAGCUUUUUUUUGGCACUUCUGAGUAUAACUUUUUAAUAAGUCA